This 1119-nucleotide long non-coding RNA is filed under the name Canis lupus familiaris (dog). Its description in RNAcentral is "lncRNA (ENSCAFG00040023546.1)". Lineage: Eukaryota; Metazoa; Chordata; Mammalia; Carnivora; Canidae. The record is from RNAcentral.
AUGCCAGCGGGCUCCCGCGCCGGCCGCUCGCCGGGCCGCCUCCUCGGGGCGGGGUGUCCGGCGCGGCGCGGGGCGGGGCGGGGCGGGGCGGGGCGGGCGGAGGCGGGGCGGCGCGGCGGGCGGGCGGACGGGCAGGUCGGCGGAGGCACGCGGCGGCGGGACCUGCUCCGCGAAGCCCCGAGGGGAGGCCGAGCGCGCACGACCCCGGGCUGCGGCGGCACCGAGCUGGGACCCCGCGGCCGGCGGCACCACGCCCGUGCGCCCGGGGCCUCGGAGGCUUCGGGGAGGCGGCCUUCCCGCGGACCGAGAGCGCACGCGGCCUGGGAAGCGGCGCCCCGUCCGGGCCCGGCGCCGCGGCACUGCUCGGGCCCCCGAGGCGCGGCGAGGCGCGGCGAGGCGAGGCCGGUGCGGAGCGCCCGGGCGGCGCAGGCCGGGACCGCCGCUGCGAGCCACGCGGAUGCCGGCCCGCGGCGGCGACCUGCCGCGUCACCUCGGGCGAGACCGAAACUUGCGAGCCUCGCCCAGCUCUGGAGCCGAGUGAGCACCGACGGCGACCUGCGGUCCCGCGGGCCGAAGGGGCGCGCCCAGCCUUCCCGCCGCCCCUCCGCAGCCGGCCGGGACCGCGGGACGCCGAGCCCGGGAAACCCAGAAGCGCCGGCCUGCGAGCCCAACGCGGCCCGCGAACGGGCGGCUGCCGGCGACAGCCACGGCCUUUCCCAGUUCCCAUCCCUGAGGGGCCUCGUCACCCAGGCCGCUUCACCCCCUUCUCUGACCCCGGCGGCGAGAGGGCGCGCGGGGAGGCGGGGGAGUUUGCGCCGGGCCCCGGGCGCAUGCGCAGACGUUUGGGUUGGGGCGGGUCCCGGGGCGGGGAGCCCGUCUUUAGGGCGGCUCUGCCGAUUGGCCGGUCUGCGCGGGCCACGCCCACCGCCUGCUGAUGGACAGCGCCUUACCUGCCCGGGCGGAUUCCGCCGCGCUCUGGGGCAGCUUGGGGCAGGCCUUCGCCGGAGUCGCGGUGGACGCUCCAGCCCGAGUUCCCGGGGUCCUCGCGGCCGUGAUCCCCGCCUGGACGGAGGCCGCCCGUCGCGUCCUGCCCCUGCGGAAAGCCAAACACUGGCCUAA